GCACUGACGAGGAGUGCCACAAUAGGACGAAAUGGCCGUCCAGUGU
This is a non-coding RNA of Schistosoma mansoni, 46 nucleotides long. NCBI's taxonomy places the organism in Eukaryota, Metazoa, Platyhelminthes, Trematoda, Strigeidida, Schistosomatidae. The record is from Rfam.